Brassica rapa (field mustard) is the source of this 1410-nucleotide long non-coding RNA. RefSeq lists it as uncharacterized. The record is from RefSeq and is a predicted model, not a curated record. NCBI's taxonomy places the organism in Eukaryota, Viridiplantae, Streptophyta, Magnoliopsida, Brassicales, Brassicaceae.
UAAGGUGGAUUAGAUGUUUUUAAAAGAAUCAUUACAAAAGUAUUUAUAACCGGGUGUUUUGCUCGUAAAUACAGACAUAAUCAUAAUAAAAAUACAUAUUAUUAUAUCUAUUAUUAAUUCAAUUGCCAAUAUUAAGUUUUUAUAAUUAAAAAUAUUAUUGUUUUGAUAACAAAAAAAUCUAUAUUAUCUUUUGACUGUGUAAUAAAUUCAUUAUCUAUACUAUACUAAAAGUUCUAAAACUAGAGCAAAGAAGGCAUCCACGUCAGCCAGUUAAUUGUGGCCAAUAACAAGGAGACAACUGUCAAAAAAAACCAACUCACUCAUAUUAUUUGUUAAAGUUACACUACCGAUGGAGACAAAAAUGAUCCGCGGAAACCCAUUUAUUCACAUGAAUUUAUAUUACAGUCCACAUUAAAAGCCCAAAACUGGUAAAUUUAACUCAUCUCCUCAUUCUCAAUCUCACGUUCCAUCUUCCUUAUCCUGAAAUCAAACCUUAAUAGCAUGAAAUCUCUUAAGCAUCAAUAAAUAUGUAAACACUAAUAGCCAGACAAUUUAAUUUCGAAUGGAAUAGGAUGUGUAACGUCUCCCUCCAUUACUAACUGCCAUCAAAGAUUUACAGAACUUAUGACAUCCAAACUCUUCACCUCCCAUCAAACUCGAGCUACAUAUACUCACAUGAAUGGGAAAACUUUUCUCUUCCCAAAUCCCCUUACAAAUAACCAAUCGUACACACCGCUUCAACGGAUACGAACCAUGAGAUUUACAGUGACACCGGUCCGGCGAAAUCAAACACCAAAACCCAGCCGAAAUACACCACCAAUUUACAUGGAGACGAUUCGGUGAAAUUGACUACCAAUGUGAUGGCAAAAUGGACCACUGAUUUAAUGGAAAAAAUCGCUCUGCAAAUCACAGCUCCGGCGAAAGUGGUGCCGAAUUCACGGGCUGUUUUGUCCUCCAAAGCGAAUAAAGCUCUGAAGAACGUAGAGAUGAUUUCUGCUUGGCUGCUAGCUGUUAUAGAUUGAACUGGUCUGAAUGAAGAUAGGGAGAUGAAAUGACCAGACAAGAAAACUCAUUUGUCCACCUUCCACUGAAUGGAUGCAUCAUACAAGAGAGGAUUCUCCUAUCCUCAAAGAUUCCCGAGACAGUGUUGUAUCCUAAGGGAUUUUUGUUUUACUUUUGUUGCCUUCUCCACCAUGAGCUCAUGCAGGGUUCAAGAGUCCAAAAUUACAAUCAGGUUGGUGAUUCAUAAGAAGCUAACAACUUUUCUUUGAUUACUAUUAGAUUUUUGUCUUUCCUAUACGUUUGUCAACAUAUCCGUAUGAAUAUCAGUUUCUCAAAAGAUUCAUGUGUAACAGAACAAAACAACAGUAAUUUUCUCCCAACUUUGUGUAUAAGAAAUAUCUUGACGUU